RNAcentral lists this non-coding RNA (616 nucleotides) under Trichomonas vaginalis G3. RNAcentral describes it as "Eukaryotic small subunit ribosomal RNA". It matches the Rfam family "Eukaryotic small subunit ribosomal RNA", at positions 1166 to 1831 of the family's 1831-position model. Lineage: Eukaryota; Parabasalia; Trichomonadida; Trichomonadidae. The record is from Rfam by way of RNAcentral.
ACACCAGGGGUGGAGCCUGUGGCUUAAUUUGAAUCAACACGGUGGAAACUUACCAGGACCAGAUGUUUUUUAUGACUGACAGGCUUCGGGUCUUUCAGGAUAUUGUUUUUGGUGGUGCAUGGCCGUUGGUGGUGCGUGGGUUGACCUGUCUAGCGUUGAUUCAGCUAACGAGCGAGAUUAUCGCCAAUUAUUUACUUUGCCGAAGUCCUUCGGUUAAAGUUCUAAUUGGGACUCCCUGCGAUUUUAGCAGGUGGAAGAGGGUAGCAAUAACAGGUCCGUGAUGCCCUUUAGAUGCUCUGGGCUGCACGCGUGCUACAAUGUUAGGAUCAAUAGGACUGCGAGCCUGAGAGGGUGCGCUACUCUUAUAAUCCCUAACGUAGUUGGGAUUGACGUUUGUAAUCAGCGUCAUGAACCAGGAAUCCCUUGUAAAUGUGUGUCAACAACGCACGUUGAAUACGUCCCUGCCCUUUGUACACACCGCCCGUCGCUCCUACCGAUUGGAUGACUCGGUGAAAUCACCGGAUGCUUACGAGCAGAAAGUGAUUAAAUCACGUUAUCUAGAGGAAGGAGAAGUCGUAACAAGGUAACGGUAGGUGAACCUGCCGUUGGAUCAGUU